GACGAACGCUGGCGGCGUUCCUAAUACAUGCAAGUAGGACGCAGUUGCGAACGGGUGAGUAACGCGUAGGUAACUACCUAUUAGUGGGGGAUAACUAUUGGACACGAUAGCUAAUACCGCAUCCUAGUAGAUGGACCUGGGUUGUCGUAGCUAGUAGGUAGGGUAAUGGCCUACCUAGUCAACGAUACAUAGCCGAACUAGUAGGGUGGUCGGCCACACGGGGACGAGGACACGGCACAGACACCGACGGGAGGCAGCAGUAGGAAAAGGUCGGAAAUGGGGGGAACCCUGACCGAGCAACGCCGCGGUAGUGAAGAAGGUUUGCGGAUCGUAAAGCUCUGUUGUUAAGGAAGCGGUACUUAACCAGAAAGGGACGGCUAACAACGUGCGAGCAGCCGCGGGAAUA
Molecule: ribosomal RNA, 406 nt
Filed under: uncultured bacterium
Lineage: Bacteria
Description: partial 16S ribosomal RNA
Rfam family: Bacterial small subunit ribosomal RNA
Source: RNAcentral